RNAcentral lists this ribosomal RNA (218 nucleotides) under Stenodactylus yemenensis. Its description in RNAcentral is "partial 12S ribosomal RNA". Lineage: Eukaryota; Metazoa; Chordata; Lepidosauria; Squamata; Gekkonidae. The record is from RNAcentral.
AACUACCAGCGAAAAGCUAAAAACUCAAAGGACUUGAUGGUGUCCCACAUCAACCUAGAGGAGCCUGUCCUAUAACCGAUAACCCACAAUUCACCCCCCCUGCCCUAGCCCAUCAGCCUAUAUACCGCCGUCUUCAGCUCACCUAAUGAUAGAUACCCAGCAAGUACAAUUGGGCACCGCCCCUGAUACAGCAGGUCAAGGUGUAGCUAAUGAGCAGG